This 164-nucleotide ribosomal RNA is filed under the name uncultured bacterium. RNAcentral's name for it is "partial 16S rRNA". It matches the Rfam family "Bacterial small subunit ribosomal RNA", at positions 355 to 511 of the family's 1533-position model. The record is from RNAcentral.
UAGGGAAUCUUCCACAAUGGACGCAAGUCUGAUGGAGCAACGCCGCGUGAGUGAAGAAGAUCUUCGGAUCGUAAAACUCUGUUGUUAGAGAAGAACACGAGUGAGAGUAACUGUUCAUUCGAUGACGGUAUCUAACCAGCAAGUCACGGCUAACUACGUGCCCG